CGCCGCGCGCUGCAGGUUGGCGGUUGGUCCCUCCGAGGCGGCCCCAGUUUCAGUUUUUCUCAGGACGUCCUGCCUGGCCGGGGCGUGAUGCCUCUCGACCCUCGGGUGGCCAUGGGGGAACCUUGGCCAUCAGGACCCCUUGGCCAUCUUCGACCGCCUGCGUUUGGCGCUUAGCAACCAGGUAUGUUUUGACUGCAGGGCCAAAAAUCACAACUGGGCAAGCAUAAACCUACGGGAUGUUUCUUUUCAUCAAUUGCUCAGGGUCACUUUGUGUUCACUGGAGUUUUAUCUGGUGUGUUGAUGGCCACAUGGAGAUGAGAGACAGUUCCUUUGGUAGCAGGGAUGACAGUGCUGGUUCCUACUGGAAUAAGGAAAGCAGUCGAGACACCUAGACCACGGUUAAAAGCACAGGCUCUUCAGACAUCUGUGAGCUGCAGAACCAGAAAGCCAGAACUACAGGCUGGAGUGCCUUCUGUACCCUCUUUUCCAGCACUCACUUCACACCCAGAGUGGCUGACAGGUGGUCAUCAAUGUGUAGAAGGCAGGUGGAGCCAGGACAUAAUUGGGCCAGCCUUGCAGGUCUGUUGCUAUCUGGGCUACAGUCAGGCAGGGCCUCGCGGAAGCCAUCAGCUGCUUUGAUAUUCUGUUCCAGCUCUCGGUAAAUGGUUUUGUAGCUAAAUCACAGAUAGAAAGACAACUCUGUAAAAGGCAGGGCCCAGCCACCAUUCCUCACAGCCAUAGCAGGCCCUGUCACCUGCAUGAGAGUCUCUGCAGCCUGCAGUUUCCCAGACACAGGUCAGGGACGCCAUUCCCUGGUGUCACAGGUACAGAUGCAGACAACAUCCUCUAGAACCCGGGACCCACCCAGAUAAGCUUCGUAUCAAACCAGGUGGCACACCGAGAUUUGCCCUGCUGCAUCAAAUCCUGGGUGCUCUGGGUGCAGAUGUGCACACACACACACCUCCGCGCCCCCUGACACACACACACACACACACACACACACACACACACCGUCAGGUCACGUUGAGGGUGUCAGAGUGCCACCGCAGCCGCGCCUCCGAGUCCGCUUCUCUCAGGAGAGCUGGAGGUUUCCCUCCCCACGGGAAAGGUAGUAUGGGAGGAAGACAGAACCACGAGACCCAGUCCUGCCUCCUACGACCAAGGACACGGGUCUAGGCUGGACCUGAUAGAUCAGUUAUCAUCCACAUAGGCAGUUCUCUCUUUCUGAGCCUCAGUUUCCUUCUCUGCUGAGUGGCCAUAAUACCUAUUCUAUCUAAGGACUGACUUGUGUUCUCCAAAUACAAGAGCUGAAGUCCUAACCUCAGGAUGUGACCUUUUCUGAAAACAGGGUCUUUUGGAGGUGGACAACUUAAAACAGGUUCAGUAAAAUGGCCCCGGUGCAGCAGGGCUGCUGUCCUUAGAAAGAAGAAGAAAUCUACCCUAGAUACUCAGGGAAAGAUGGCCAGAGGACUGGAGAGAAGGGUCAGAUGUCCAGAGAGCUGAGGACUGUGGCAGACCCACAAGCCAGGAGAGGUAGAAGGACCUGGAGCCUUCGGUGGGGAGUGUGGCCACACCUCGGUUUUUGACUUCUGUCUUCUAGAACUGAGUAAUGAGCUUCCCUUGUUGCCUGCCAUGCCACCCAGAUUCUGUCACAGCAGCCCUAGGAGCGACUGCACCAUGUACCCCAGAGGUGACUUGGGACACAGAGACGGGCUGUGCUGAUUCAGGCCUUUGCCAGAGCCAAGUACAAACCGUGGAAGGUGCCUCAUACACAGAAGAGCAGGACACAGUCCCAGCCCCGUCCCUUUCCUGUCCCCUAAAAGCUGUGUAGCAGCUCAGUUUCCUCAUCAGCAAGAUGGGGACAGUUCUGCCUACUUUCCAGGCUGUCUCAGAGAUGAAAUGACAGCAGAGCCCCUGUGCAGUGGCUGCUUUCCAUCUUUUUAGAGGAGACAGAAGGGAUGUCGCUUUCUACUGACAACAAGCUUUGACCUGACAUUCAUUUCUCAAGGCUUCUGCCGGAUGGAUGAAGGAAGUGGAUUUCUAUCUCUGUCCUGUUAUCUGGCUCUCUCCUGAUGCAGGCACACUGUGUCACAAGUCAAACUGGAGUGUGUCUUGCUGUCUGGCCUCCCCGGGACUACAGUCACUAAGAUAUCAAUGGUCAAGCUGGCAGCAGGGAUGAGAUGACCUCUACAAGGGACUGUCCUUGGGGCAGAAGACAUGAGGCCUGGCCAGUGCUGCACUGGUGCAGGUGGAUUUCCAGAAGGCCAGGUCUGGCUGGUCCUCGCUGUGGCACCAGAACAGACACCUUCCCUUCCUGUCCAGACCCAUUUGGAGCUGGCAGCUUCGAGCCUUCCAUGGCUGUGCUGGAUGCUGGCUCUGGGAACAGGAGCUCAUGGGAAUCCAAGGCUGCAUGCAACACCCGAGUCUGUUCAAUCCCGGCCUCCCUGUGACUCACACUGAUGGGGUUUUUGCCUCAGGGAAACUUACCUAGCCACAUUGGACAGGUCCAAGUGCUUCUGAACCUCCAGCAGAACCUCCCGGAAGAAGCGCAGGCGCUUCUCUUCAAACUGCUGGCACUGCUCGAACACCUGCUCCAUGUUCUCCAUGUACUGGGGUGUGGUCUGAUCAAGUUCCUUCAGGGCCUUCUCAUACUUGUCCUUGGUCUGUGUUAAAAUCGGCACAGACAGAGGUUUGUCUCCAUCCCACCUCUGUACAACCCAUGUGCCCCACUGCUUCUCAGGCCUCCCCGAGCCCAAAUGUGGGAGCAGAAGUCCUGGAGCCUAGCAUUCUCCAAGUCCAGUCCAGUUCCUGUGCUUCUCCAUGGCAAGUCACUCUAUGCCUGCUCUGCCUCUCACUGGAGCAAGACCAAACAGGUAGAUAUAGGUGAGAGAUGGUUACACUGGCACUGAGUGUCCUGGAUCCCAAGUCUACAUCUAUGUCGGUGGCAUAGUUGUGAGCAUAGCUGCCUUUGUUCUUUGUUCACUGCACGCCUGUGUUCAUUUUGUCAGCGGGAAGGGCUGUGUUGUGCACCACUCUAGCCUAGCUCUGGCCCUAGCAGCUUGGCCUAUGAGGUACCUUAGAGAUAAGUCAUUGUCCUAAGGACAAAUGGUCCUGAGCCUCAUUUUCAUUAUCAGAAAAUGAGGACACUUUCUACUUCAUAGUAUUUUGAGACUUAAGUAACCCACACAAAGCUACAUGGAUUAGACAUUCCUCGUCUGUCCAUGCAGCCUCUUUGUCAAGGAUAUCUGGAGGAAGGGCAUUUAGGUAAAAGGAUAGAUUAAGAGCAGUGUGGUCCAGCUUAAGCAGGUCUCCGGACAGAAUGUAUUAAGACCCUAGGAUGUGGUGAAAGUGAACACUUGACAGGUGUGCUCAGGCUCAGAGACCACACUCACCCAGGCUUGUGUACCCUGCCCUCCAUACCAUGCUAAUCGAUUGCUUUUGUGAUUCCAGACAGUUUGGUUUGCUGACAGGAGCUUCCUGGGAGUAGGGGGGCAGCUGGGUUCUGGGAAUACCUUUUUAUUGCAGAGCUUUCCAUACUGUCUCUAACAACUGAAGGGUGUUCAAGGAUGCACGUGACAAGUCCAUGGUACUCUUCCUAAAGCCGGUACUAAGCCAGUGUUCAGCACACCUCACCAGCCUGUGAUUGACCUUCAGAGUGUCCAUUGGCACAUGGCCACUUCCAUCUGUAGCCUCAGGUGGAGGUAUGACUCACUCUUCCUUGGCCUCUGGAGCUGGCAAGCCUUUCCUGUUUGUACAUCAUAUGGUACACUCUGCUGCUUCUGCCUGCAAGUAGAGUGGGUGCUAAUGGCCACAUUGCUCCAAGUGGCCUUCAUGCAGAAGACUCACAUUUUCAGAUUCUUUUCUGAGGACUCUGGGCUUUCUGAAAGCUCGGCACCACUUUAUUUCCUCAAAACCUCCCGUGUGUGUGUGUGUGUGUGUGUGUGUACGUGCACGUGUACUAUCAAGAUGAGGAAGCAGGUACAAACUGUAGGUAAACUAUCACUGCAAGUAGUCAUCAGAAAAGAACCUCACUUAGUCACUCUUGAUGGCUAAUUUCCUGAUUUAUACUAUAAUUCUGCUUUUGAAUAGUUUCCUUGCUACUUAAAAAGCCAAGGACCUCACUCCACAGGUACUUGCCAAGUCACUGUCCACCUGCCAGACACUCCUGGGGGUGGCUAGCCUGUCCCUUGUUGCUGUACAGGCCAGUGUAGCCUCCCAUGCUCACCCUGGGUUGCCAGACAGCAAGCCUCCCUGCCUUUGUUACCGCCAGAGACCAAUCAGCAGACUGAGAUUCUCUGUGCACAACUCCAGGCCAGGGACUGACAGAGCAGCUGGUAGGUUAGAGAGUGGUGCCAGCUAGCAAAAUGCAGGGCUAAGCAUGCCUGACAUCGCAUGUUGACUUAGGGGACAAGGACAGCUUCCCAGAGUUGGUGACAUUGAACUAAAGGCUGCUUUCAUGUCAUCACAUGAAAGAAUAUUACUCCCCAAUUGUUCUUGCUUUCUGAGCACCAUGCUUACGUUUCAGCCUCUAAAUGUUGCCUAUUCCCUAGCAAGUAGGAAUAACUGUCCCCAUUUCACAGAUGAGGAAACUGAAGCUGAAGUCAGUCACUGCAUCUGCCAGAGUCCUACAGCUCAGUAGCUGUGCUGGAGCUGAAAGUAGCUCUUUGUACAGUUCCUGGUAGGGACAGUCUCGAUAGCAAAACCUGAUUCUUACCUGCUUUGUCAAGAGUAUAUUGAGUAUUGACUGCCUUUUUCCACAUUUAAGUUAGGAAUUUUUAAAAACGAGAAUGCCAUUGGCUAAUUUAGGAUGGAAAUCAAAAUACUCAGUGUUUCAUCCUUUGAGCUGUGGACUUUCCAGGGUACAGGCAUUAACACUGAAGGUCUCCCAGGAAAGAAAAAGGGUCUGUUCUCAUCUUUUUCCUCCCAUGUUCUUCACAGUAUUAGCCAACAAUUUUUGUUUGUUUGCCUGGGUGGCCAUCCAGUCUGUCUCUCUGCUUUGUUCUUCAUCCAAGGCAGCAAUUCAGAACUGCUAACAAGACCAAACCUACACUUUGACAUUUUUUAAUUUUAUUUGCAUUGAGCAAAAGACCCCCCAACCAUUUGCUGACAUUUUUGAUGACCACAAAGGGAUUCUUAGAGGGCCUGAAGAAGAGGAGGACCAGCCCUGGUGAUAGUUGGUGCAAUUUGCCUUGUGGCUGCCUGAACCUUAGCUUUGAUUUCAGCCAGUAGGCUCUUCCUUGACCCUACUCACCAGAAUGCAACCCUCUCUGCUUGUCUGUCCUGUAUUCUGGAGUAUUCACCAGCUGUCACUGGCUUAAUCUCCCCUUUGGACUGCAGCUUGGCUGCAGCACUAACAGUCUAUACGCUUUGUCUUUUUGUUGUGCUCAUUCGGUACUCUAGUCCAGCAGACUCUGGCUUCUGAAAUUUUCAUUUGAACUGCUCUGGUGGCUCAUGCCUGCAAUCCUAGCACUUAGGAGGCGGAAGUAGCAUUGCCAGGUUGAGACCAACCUGAGCUACAUAGUGAGUUCCAGACCAGCUUGGGCUACAAAGUGAUACCCUGUCUCCAGACAUACAAAGAAGAAAAAGGGAAGGAAGAGACUUUGGGUAGGACUGCCACUCAUACUGUACCGUGCUUUGUCCGUGUCCAAACCCCGCUAACACUCAGUUUUUGCUUCUGAUAUCUGAUUUGGUGGGGCUUUGUUUUGUGAGCACCUAUAAUUCCAGUUCUCACACCCUGUCUGCAGUCCCAUCCUAGCACUUCCAGGGAUGCCAUGAAAAGCAGCUCUGAGCCCUGAGGUUCUAGUUGCUUCUCAUGUUCACAAGUUACUACUUUUUUGGUCUCCUGGUUAAAGGGUAGGCCCGGGAAUCACCCCAUGGAUGUCUGGGUGCUGAGGUUCAUUUAGACCCAAGAGGUUCAAGAAAAAGAACUUGAUGCAAUGCCUGACAUCAGUAUAACUUAGAUUAGAAGGCCAGUUGGCUGGACAGUGGGUCUGCAUUUUCUUGAAGGGAGGAAAAGAGACUUCUUUAUCUACUUUUAUGAAAUCAUACCAGGACCCUCAUCUGAGAGACUCCUAACUAAGCCCCUAGGCCUACAGACCCUGUGAUCCAGACAGCUGAGGGAAGACACAAAAGUUUCAGGGAGGACCUCAGACCCUGGGCAGCGGGGAGAAAAGAUAGAUAAAAGCCAGUACCUUGUGGCAACCACCUCAAAGUAACCUCAAAAUUCAAUAAUAUGCCCCAAAAUUGAUCUAACAAGAACCAAGGCACCUGACUGAGAGCCAGUGCAUAUUUGGCCAAAAGGAAUGGUACUAGGAAAUGACUGCUUUGUAAAGGGCUAGCCAGACAGCAGCCCCAGCCCAAGAGCAACCAUGUUUAGUUCCUGGGUCAAGGGAGCAUUAUCAGUGAAACUGUGUGACACUUGUGGCCAGUUGUUACUGUUAUCCCAUACCUUGUGGUCUUAGGGUUUGGCUAUAAAAUGUCACCCAAAAGCUCUGAGAGGUGGAAGGUUCCUCAGCUAGUGAUACUGUUGAGGAAUGAUUGGAUCCUAAGAGUGGUGACGUCAGGGGAUUAGUCUGUUAAUUAUUUCAUAUUUGAAUGGGCAGUUAUACCAUGGGGCCUAUUUGCAGGAAGUGGGACACUGGAGGAGUGCCCUGCAAGGGGGGGUGGUGUAUCUUUUUCCUAACCCAGUCUCCUUUCUGUCAUGAGGUAAGCAGUCUACUUUGCCAAGUGUUCUAUGGUGUUCAGGAUUGUUUCAGGCCUACAGUGAUGAGGCCAAAGAACCAUGGACUGAAGCCAUGAGCCAAAAUAAGUCUAUUCACUUCAGUUGUAUCAAGUAUUUGGGCACAACAGUAGAUACUAACACAUAUGGCUAAUCUUUUUCUGCCUAUAUGAAUGUAAAGGUAUAUAUUAUAUAUCUACAUGUAUACUGUAUGUUUACAUAUUAUGUUGUGUACAUUGUACCAAACUGAGUUAGAAAUAAACCCUUGUUUAUCAAAGAAA
Long non-coding RNA from Peromyscus leucopus (white-footed mouse), 6999 nucleotides. RefSeq lists it as uncharacterized. NCBI's taxonomy places the organism in Eukaryota, Metazoa, Chordata, Mammalia, Rodentia, Cricetidae. The record is from RefSeq and is a predicted model, not a curated record. The transcript has 3 exons.